UCCGGCUUAUCACCAGCGGUUACCUUAGAGUACCCAACUAAAUGCUGGCAACUAAGGUCGAGGGUUGCGCUCGUUGCGGGACUUAACCCAACACCUCAAGGCACGAGCUGACGACAGCCAUGCAGCAUCUGUGGCCCACCCUCGAAGGCGACUGGCUUUCACCAGCUUGCAGGGCCAUGUCAAACCUGGGUAAGGUUCUGCGCGUUGCGUCGAAUUAAACCACACGCUCCGCUGCUUGUGCGGGCCCCCGUCAAUUCCUUUGAGUUUUAAGCUUGCGCUCGUAGUUCCCAGGCGGGCCACUUCCCGCGUUAGCUAAGGCCCCCAGAGACGGAGAUUCCGCCUCCAAAGGCCGAGUGGCCAUCGUUUACGGCGUGGACUAC
RNAcentral lists this unclassified non-coding RNA (380 nucleotides) under uncultured Roseiflexaceae bacterium. Its description in RNAcentral is "contains 16S-23S intergenic spacer region". Lineage: Bacteria; Bacillati; Chloroflexota; Chloroflexia; Chloroflexales; Roseiflexaceae. The record is from RNAcentral.